GAUUAAUGAAAAAGUCAUCAAGUAGUCCUUAACUUAGUGGUCAUCAUUAGAACCCAUCAUGUGUUGGUAAAUACUUUACUGUAAGCUUUCGUGGAAAGUAUUUAGUUUUGUAGAACCACAGUUGUGUGCUUAGCAUUUAGAGUCAAAUAGAUAAAUUACCUGCGAUGCGAAAUGUUUAUGUUUUUUUUUUUUAGGGAAAGGGAUGUGAUUCCGUGAGAGUAAACCCAUCUAUUGAUCGAAAGAUCAUACAACGAGCACUCUCGCUCAAACUAAGGGAUCUAAAGAUCACGUAGUACAUCCACUGCUCAACUGACUAAGUUAAUAGACAGGCUACCAUCCAAAAGGAUGAUAAUAACCACAAUCUACGAAGAAAAUAAAGUCCAAAAGGGUCGACAAUCAAACUAAACCCAAAAGACUAUGUCCAAAAAAGCGGACAUCCAAAAACUAAUUUAUUCUUCAUAACCCUAAUUCACAGCAUCCGUCUUGAUUGGCUUGGGGUCUAGAGACCUUCAUGGUGUACCCCUCCACCCGUCAAAACAAUGAACAACGUAGAAUGAGUGACAAAACCCACCCCGAAUUUUACUUUAAAACCCGGAGUAAAUCCUGCAGGAACCACCUCCAAGGAAAAUAUUACCAAAAAUUCGGCAUAAUCUCUUUUGAAAGUGGACAACCCUUCCUAAAGAAAACCUGCAAACACUUCUAAAAUUCUCAAUCCACCCUUAACUUCUGGAGCCUACGUGCUCCCCCAACAACCACCACCAAGAAUAAUAAUAAACUCAACUUCCAACUCAUCACAUAAUUAUCUAAAUAAGAUAACAUACAUCCUCCGCUAAAUAUUCUAAAAUGUAAUCAAUCCUUCGCCCACAACCGAAAUAAUAUUAUACAUCCCCAAGGGAAAAUCAAAGCUACUAGACACUAGAGGAAGCAAGAAAAACACUGGUAGGUUAAAUAGAUAACCUACUGAUGAAAGGUGGAGGAAAUGCGGGUGACUAUGCCUCGUCUCCUACUAGAUCCAACCCGAACUCUGGAGACUGGACAUUUUAAAAAGAAAGGCCCAGGGGAAAAAAUAUUUGAAACCGUUAGAGUGAGUGGACAAAAAUAAAUUUAAAAGAAAAUAAAUCUUUAUGCUUUCCCGAUUUAAUUUCUGUGGAAAAACAAUUAACGGUAUGCAACAAGCUCAAAAGCUUUUAAAAAUUUACCGAAUUUACCAAAACGUGACUAGCCGCGCUAGUCACCAACAUUUCAUAAAAAUAGAGCCUCUCAGGCUAAAAUAAAUUAUGUAUGUUUUACACUCGUCAUAUCCCUUAUAUGAAUUUUCUUGAAACAACAAAGACAAAUAGAAAAUUCACACAAGGCUACGACGCUUGCGUCUAACACUCACGUCGCACCAUAAUGGCAUUUUACCUCAUUAUGGUAGAAAAGACGGUGUAUAAAUAUAUAUACGCGCAUAUACCCUCUAUAAAUUAUUAUAUUUAUAUAGGGCUACGACGAUUGCGUCUAACGCUCACGUUGCACCAUAAUGAAAUUUUACCUCAGUAUGGUGGAAAAGCACGUAUAGCUAGCUAGCAUUUCUUCAUAUACAUAUUAUUCUCAUAAUCAUCCAAAUAUGGAUAUAUAUACAUACUCACCGAAAUUCUCAAUUUCGGUUAUUUUCCAACAACAUAAAUUAUUUCGCAUGCACAUUAUUUAAAACAAAAGUCCACUCACAAAUUAGGCCUAAGCCUGAUGUCGCUCCGAGGCUUCUUCUGCUCUGGCCUCCUCUCGUCCUGAACCAAAUAUACAAUUAAUUUCCCACUAAAAAUCCAAUAACUAAACAAAAUGGGCAAAAUUAAACGUGAGCCUCCCACACACUCAUCAUUGCCCAACUUCGCCAUUCUUAACUCAAAAUGGCUUAAACUUCACCGAACAUACCGGCAGCCCUAAUUCAACCUUCUACAGAUUAAUGACUUAAAUCCUACGGCCGGAUUCUACAUUAUUCAACCGCUAAAAAUACCACACUUCAGAAAAUCACAAACCUAUCCAAAUCUCAUCCGAAAAUUCCAUAAUUCACAUUAAUAAACUCACCUUAAUAUUCCACACUUAAAACUAUACAAAACUCCCAAACAGUGGCGGUGGCGCCGGUGGGUCCGCGGGCAGCGGCGGCCAGAGGCCGAUUCCGGCGACCUCCAAUGCCCACCAAAUUUUAACAGAAUCUUCCUCUCAACUCCCUCUACAACUUCCUUAAUUAGCACAACACCCAAUUCCAAGCCUAACUAGGUCAAUCGAGCAAAAACAACACAGAAAACCCUAGAGCUUCAAUUAAACAUUUCACCCUAACAAGAUCGAAUUAGACCAACUCCUUUUGAGGGAUUGCUCACCUUGAUGAGGGCUACAAGAUGAGCUAAGAAUCACGAGUUAUGGUGACCGGAAAUGGGAGUUCCAACGAAGGACAGUCCAGCGUCUCCGGUGGAAUAACUCCCAAUCGGCGACGUUACCGGCGGGGACACUAGGCCGGGAAGAGAGAGGAGGUGGCGGGGCUCCGAACUGGACUGGAGCGGCGGCCGGUGGCUGGCCAGACGGCGGCAGGCGAUGGCUGGAGGAUCCGACAACGGGAGAGGUCGGGAGAGAGGGAAAACUGGGGAAGAGAGAAGAGAAAAGAGAGAAGGAAAAGAGAAGAGAGAAAUGGCUUUUGGGCCUCUAACCCCCAAACCGGGCCGACAUCCUUAUACACUAAAACCCAACUCUAAAAUUUACACCCCAAAAAUAAAAUACCCUAUUAAAAAUUACCUUUUACUAGCUAAAAUUUAUUAUUUUUACUGUCGUCACAUUUUUCUCCAACGAAUAAUUCUCCGAAAAUAACCGUCCCCCAAACCUCUCUAGGGACCAAUUAAACUAUAAUCUCAAUGACGGAGACGGUAAAAUUCUUAUUAUAAUCAAGCUAGUAAAUAAGGUAAAAAUUUAAGGGUCGGGAUGUGACAAUUCUCCCCUCCUUAUAAAAAUUUCGUCCCCGAAAUUUACAUACCUGUCAUUCGAAGAGAUAGGGAUACUGCUGCAUCAUUUGCUCCUCUGAUUCCCAAGUAGCUUCUUCUACUUGAUGACUUCUCCAAAGCACCUUGACAAGUGGGAUUGUCUUGCUCCUGAGCACUUGCUCCUUUCGGUCGAGAAUCUGAACCGGCUCCUCUUCAUAGAUCAAAUCUUUCGUCAAACUGAUCGGCUGGUCUUGCAGCACAUGAGAGGGAUCGGCAAUAUACUUGCGAAGCAUGGAUACAUGAAACACAUUAUGUAUCCUGGCUAAUUCUUGAGGCAAAGCUAACCGAUAAACAAGUGAGCCAACUCGCUCUAUAAUCUCAUAAGGGCCAAUAUACCUCGGACUAAGCUUCCCACGCUUACUGAAACGUACUACCCAUUUCCAAGGAGAUAAUUUCAAAAACACCCAAUCACCCACUUGAAAUUCAAGAUCUCUCCUACGGACAUCUGCAUAACUCUUUUGCCUACUUUAAGCGGCCUUGAGUCUAUCUUUGAUCACUUUAAUCUUCUCAUUUGUCUCAUGGAUUAACUCUAGGCCACAAAGCUCUUUUUCCCUUACUUCAUUCCAACACAAAGGCGUACGACACUGCCUCCCAUAAAGUGCCUCAUAGGGAGCCAUACCAAUGCUAGAAUGAUAGCUAUUAUUAUAAGUAAAUUCCAUCAAAGAUAGGUUCUUAUCCCAACUCCCUUUGAACUGCAAGGCACAACCCCUUAACAUAUCCUCCAAAGUCUGAAUAGUCCUCUCGAACUGCCCAUCAGUCUGAGGAUGAAAAGCAGUGCUGAAGAGUAAUUGGGUACCUAAAGCUGCCUGAAGAGCUCCCCAUAAUUUAGAAGCAAAUCUAGGAUCCCGAUCCGACACUAUUGAUUCAGGCACACCAUGAAGCCACACAAUUUCAUUCAUAUAAAGCUCCGCCAAUUUAUCCAAUUUAUACUCUUUCCCACUGGCAAGAAAUGUGCAGACUUGGUGAGUCUAUCCACAAUCACCCAAAUACGAUCAUGCCCUUGACGGGUACGAGGUAAACUGAAAACAAAAUUCAUGGUGAUGUGGUCCCACUUCCAUACUGGAAUAGGCAACGGCUCAAGCAAUCCAGAAGGCUUCUGCCUUUCAGCCUUUACUUGCUGACAAAUCAGACAUCUACUCACAUAAGCUGUAAUUUCCCUCUUCAUGUUUGGCCACCAAUAAUAAUCCUUCAAAAUUCGAUACAUUUUUGUGCUACCCGGAUGAGCAGCAUAAGCAAAACUAUGAGCUUCCUCCAUUAUCUCACUCUUCAACUCUUCAUUUCUUUUUGGAACACAAAGCCGAUUCUUAAACAAUAAGGUCUUAUCCCUUCUAACUGAAAAAUGAUCGGCGGCAGCUCUGCUCAAAGCUCUUUCUAUCAACAGAACUAUGGAAUGAUCAUUAUACUGUGCAUCCCGCACUCUAUCAACCAAAACUCGCCUCACAUGAAAACUGGUUACCAACGCACCAACCUCAUCUACUGCUAAAUCCACCCCUGUAGCUCGCAACUCACAAAGAAGUGGAACUCGAACCGUCUUUAUAUGAGAUAAAGAUAUGGAGGGAUUUCGACUAAAAGCAUCAGCUACCACAUUAGCUUUUCUGGGAUGAUACUCAAUAGUGCAAUCAUAAUCAUUGAUUAACUCCAUCCACCUUCUCUGUCUCAUAUUUAGCUCUCUUUGGGUGAAUAUAUACCGAAGACUCUUGUGAUCGGUAAAAAUCUGACACUUGGCUCUAUAAAGAUAGUGUCUCCACAACUUGAGAGCAAAGACUACCGCUGCAAGCUCUAGGUCAUGAGUAGGAUGAUUCCCCUCAUGUGGCUUCAAUUGCCUAGAAGCGUAGGCAAUAACUCGAUCAUGCUGCAUCAAGACUCCACCUAGACCACGUCUAGAAGCAUCACAAUAAACCACAUACUCUCCAUUAUCAUCUGGAAGUGCCAAAACAGGAGCACUUGUCAAGCAAUUCUUCAAUUCUUGAAAACUUUGCUCACAUUGAUCUGACCAUUCAAACUUAACACCCUUCUUGGUCAAUCUUGUAAGAGGAGCAUCAAUCUUUGAAAAAUCUCGCACAAAGCGACGAGAAUAACCUGCUAACCCCAAGAAACUAUGGAUCUCCAUCACAGUGGUGGGUCUUCUCCAAUUUGACACUGCUUCCACCUUUUGGGGAUCCACACUAACACCUUCUGCCGAAAUCAUAUGACCCAAUAACCACACUUUAUCUAGCCAAAACUCACACUUGCUAAACUUAGCAUAUAACUGCGACUUUUCUAAAGUCCGCAAUAUUAUUCUUAGAUGCUUGGCAUGCUCCUUCUCACUUCUUAAGUAAACCAAGAUGUCAUCUAUGAACACGAUCACGAAACGAUUAAGAUAUGGACUAAACACCCUAUUCAUGAGAUCCAUGAAUGCCGCGGGUGCGUUAGUAAGUCCAAAUGGCAUCACCACAAACUCAUAAUGACCAUAUCGUGACCAAAAAGCAGUCUUGGCUAUGUCCCCCUCUCAGAUCCACAACUGAUGAUAACCCGAUCUCAAGUCAAUCUUAGAGAAAACAGAGGCACCCCUCAACUGAUCAAAUAAAUCAUCGAUCCGAAACAACGGAUAUUUAUUCUUCACCAUGACCUGAUUCAACUUCCUAUAAUCAAUGCAUAGUCUCAUGGUGUCAUCUUUCUUAUUAACAAACAACACCGGAGCACCCCAAGUAGACUUCUGCAAUUGAGUCUUCAACUCUUUCAAUUCCGCUAGAGCCAUUCUAUAAGGUGCCUGAGAGAUAGGCAUAGUUCCGGGAAGUAAUUCUAUAAAGAAGUCUAUCUCCCUUGCAGGAGGCAAACCAGGCAACUCCUCAGGAAAAACAUCCGGAAACUCCCUUACUACUGUAAUAUCUUCUAUUCCCACAACUCCUAUACUUGUAUCCGCCACAUGAGCUAAAUACGCCUGACAACCUUUAUUUAAUAAUUUCCUUGCAGCAACAACGGAAAUUAGACAACUCGAAAUAACAUCUCUUUCCCCUUGAAAGGCAACCUCAUAUCCACUUGGACUUCGAAGCACCACUACUUUCUGAAAACAAUCUACCAUAGCUCUAUAUGUUUCCAAAAAGUCCAUUCCCAAGAUCACAUCAAACUCCAUUAUCUCUAAAGGAAUUAAAUCGGCCUUGAAAUUAAAUCCCUCUACUAAAACUUCACAACCAUUAAACACCUAAUUAAUUCUCAUCACCUCACUGAAGGGUAGAGACACAUGCCACUCGCCUGGAAGAGACGAUGAUGGCACAUUGUCAUGGAGGGCAAAUCUACUAGACAUGAAUGAAUGCGUGGCUCCGGGAUCAAUUAAAAUAAAUGCAGGCUGACCAAAAAUUAAUAACGUAUCAAUGAUGACAUCUGGAGAAGUACGACCCUCUUGCUGGGUCAUGGCAUGCAGUCUAGCGUGAGUCAUGGGACGUCCACGCUAACCACUACCCUGCUGAGAGCCACCUCGGGCCGAUGCACUGACCUGAGCACCACUACUGGAGCGUCUACCUGAAGACUGACUAACUGGAUGAGUAGGGGUGCGGGUGGUCCUCUGAGCCAACAAUGGACAAUCUCUUCUGAAGUGGUCCUGACUACCACACUCAAAACACCCAGAAAAUUGCAGCUGCUGCCCAUAAAAAAAGUCUGACCACCAGACGUCCCACCCUGGGAGCUGCCACCAAAACCAAACUGUCUAGUCUGCUGCCUACCCAACUGGCUCCGAGAAGAACUUCUGAAACGUCCCUUAGACUUGCUUCGUACACCAGAGCUAAAUCUACCAUUAUUGCCACUACCUGCUGAAGAUCUAGAAGCGGAUGAAGAAGCAGCCUUCUUGGAUGGACCCUGACUGGGGCCACCGAAAUCUCGUGGCCGAGCACUAUAAAUCCCCAUAGCUCAAUGGCCAUGGCUGCAUGAACAGCAUCAAGAAAGGUCGGGUAAUAAACACCCAUCACCUUGUCUGCGUACACUCCACCAAGUGCCCCAAUGAACAUCUCCAUCCUGGUCCUCUCAUCAGGAAGCAGAUAAGACACAUGGUAGCUCAGGGAAGUGAACCUUUGCUCAAACUCUAUGACACCCUCAUCAUCCCUCUUCUUCAUAUUCAGGAAAUCUGACUGAAUUAUGCUGCGGUGGGCGUGACUGAAAUACUGCCCUAAGAAGAGCGUCUUAAACUGCUCCCAAGACAUAUUCUGAGCAUCCUCAACAUUCCUGCUGGCAAGCGACCACUAGUGAUGUGCUGAAUCAUCCAGAAAAGUCACUGCCAUCUUCACCUUCCUUUCUUUUGGCAAAUCGGAGCUCGCAAAAGCCUUUUCCAUUUUGUCUACCCAAGUAUAAGUAUCAAGGGGUCCCUUGGCACCCUUGAACUCUCUUGCUCCAACCUCAUAACUUCUCUCAUCUUCACUGUAUAAGGGUGUGGAGCUCGAUCUAUAACAUCCCUCAACAUAUUCCCAAGAUCAUCAACUAGUCCCCUGACCUCAUUGCCCUCAUUGGCAUUGGUCGAAGUGGCUACACGGGGUUGGCGUGGGCGCCUAGGAGGCAUAGUAUCUGAGGAAGAAGAUAUUUAGUAGUCCAUAAACAAGACUAACACAACUAUCACACAUACCCAAUAACACAUAGCAUCCAAAGCAUAAAAUGCCAAUGAAUCUGCCGCGGUCGGAUCAUCACUCUAUAGAGACUACAUGCUACCUAGGCAAAUAUGAUAGUGACAAGGAAGCAGGAAAAGGAAACCUAAAGCUCUGAUACCAACUGACAAGACCCACCCAAAAUUUUACCCUAAAACCCGGAGUAAAUCCUGCGGGGACCACCUCCAAGGAAAAUAUUACCGAAAAUUCGGCAUAACCGCCUUUGAAAGUGGACAACCCUUUCCUAAAGAAAACCUGCAAACACUUCUAAAACUUUCAAUCCACCCUUAACUUCUGGAGCCUACGUGCUCCCCUAACAACCACCACCAAGAAUAAUAAUAAAAUCAACUUCCAACUUAUCACAUAAUUAUCUAAAUAAGAUAACAUACAUCCUCCGCUAAAUAUUCUAAAAUGUAAUCAAUCCUUCUGUCAGGACCUACCCCGGAUUUCCUCUUGAAAUCCAGAAUCAACCCUGCGGGACCCACCUCAAGGGAAAUUCUACAAAAAUUUUGGCAUAACCUCCCUUGAAAAUGAGUAACCCUGCCUGAAAGAAAAAUCAUCAAAACCCAUACACUUCUAAAACAAUUUAAUCCACAUCUUCUGGAGCCAUCCGCUCCCCUAAUAAACAUCCACCACCUCAACUCACAUAAAAAAAUCAAAAUAAUUUCAUGAAUUUAAUCUCUCAUACAAACAUACCAAAUGUCUUUUUCAUCACUCCUAAGAGGAGUCAUAAGCUCUUAGCACACACCCACAAUAAAAACAAUCUUAAUAUCACUUAAAACAUCCCAUAGUUAAUCAGAGCAUCUACUAGAAUAGAAGGAAAUACAUAGGUAGGUUAACUAGUAACCUAUGAGAGAAAACUAGAUGAGGUGGGAAAUAUGACUCGCCUCCUACUCUCGCCGAACAUAACUCUGCAGACUGGGUAUUUAAAACGAAAGACCUAGGGGAAAGCAUUUAAAACGUUAGAGUGAGUGGACAAAAUAAAUAAUAAAAAUACGGACUUAAUGAUAGAGCAUUGAAAUCAAUUUAAUGCUUUUCUCAUAUUUUCCAUUGAGAAAAUAUUUAUACAUGCUAUUCUUGGAAAUCUUUCCGAAAAUAAUUAUAGACAAAACUAAUGAACCAAUCUCAUUGGUUCCCAAUAAAUCAAUAAGAAUAGGGAAGAGGUUUCACCAUAACAAUGAGCCUCCCAGGCUAUAAUAGCGUCCCACGCUAAACGCUCUACUCACAUAUGAUGAGGACCGCUUAUAAAGUUAUAAUAGCGUCCCACGCUAAGCGCUCAACUCUCAUAUGAUGAGGACCGCUAAAUAAUGGCUAGCUAACAAUAAAUAUAUAUAUAUAUAUAUACUGAUCGGUUGCCUCCCAGGCUGUAAUAGCGUCCCACGCUAAGCGCUCUACUCACAUAUGAUGAGAAUAGCUAAUAAGACUAUAAUAGCGACUCACAUAUGAUGAGGACCGCUAAUUAGGUUAGCUAGCAAUAAUCUAUAUAUCAACCGUUUUAUGGUGAAGUAUAAUAUUAAACAAAAAGAUCCACACUUCCCCAAAUAAAUUAUAAUAAACUCAUAGCGCACAGUACAGUUCCCAACUGUACAUGGAAAUAAUAUAAAACACUUGACACGUCCCACGUGUCAACUAAAAUUAGCAAGAGUUCCGGAAAAAUAAGUGGAACUCGAUAAUCCAACAAAAUAUUAUAUCUCCAAAUGCCUUUGAAAUUAAAUAACUUUAGCACAUGCAUGAUAUUAAAAUCAAAGGUCCACUCACAGUGCUCGGCUAUGCUUGCCGACGGCCCGAGGCUUCCUCCAAAUGAUCCUCCUCACGUUCUGAACAAUAAAUAAUCAUUAAGCCUCCAAACCAGGACAAAACUUUAAUAAAAUUUCCAAAAUAAAAAGGAAGCCCAUAAUUUCAUUUCUCUUGCCCAACUUCUCCACUUUUUACCUAAUAAGACUCACAUUACUCCGCACUUACCGAAAGCCAUAAUUUAACCUUUUUAGACUUUAAAACCUGCUAAACCAACUGCCGGAUUUCCAUUCGAAUAACCGCCUAAAUCCUUUAUCAUUGAUAAAUCCUAAACCUUAACAAAUCUCCUCCAAAAAUUCCAAACUAUACUUCAUUAAACUUCUCUCAUUAAAACAAACCCAAAAUCAUGAAAAACUGCCCCUAAGGGGCGGCGGCACCGACCGGCAGCCUGAUUCCGGCGAGGGCCAAUGCUUCUCAAAUUUUCACAGAAUAUUCCUCUCAUCAUGCUCAACAACAUUCAUAACUAGCACUUAGUCCAUUUCUAAGGCUAACUAGAGAAAACGAAUCAAAACUUCUAUAAAUCCCUAAAAACUUCAAUUAUACAUUUCUCCAUAACAACAACGAAAUAGACUAAUUCCUUUUGAGGGAAUACUCACCUUGAUGAGAGCUACAAGAUGAGCCAAAGAUUCCGACCUAUGGUGGCCGGAGGUGGGAUUUCCGGCAAAAAGCUUCCCAGCGUCUCUGGCGAGUUUUCUCCUCUUCCGGUGGGCUAACGGCUCGGGGGCUAGGCCGGGGAGGGAGAGGAGGUGGCGGGGGUCUGGGCAGAGGUGGUCCGGCAGUCCCUGGCGGCCGGACAGCAGCGGACGGAGGCUCUUCUCCGGCGGGUCAAGUUGCACGGGUAAGGGAGGGAGAGAAAGUGACUGGUGAGGGAGAGAGGGAGAGAGAGGAAAUGAGGGGGAAGGGUUUUGGGUUGCUCCACAGCCGGCCCAGCUAUAAACCCAACCAAAAAUAAUACCCAUUAAUAAUUACCCCAUUUUUCCAACUCAAAAUUUACUCUUUUAAUAAUAACUUUUUCAUGCUAACUCCGAUUACAUAGCAUGUCUACGAACUCGUAUUAACGUCCUCUACAACUUUCAUAAAGAAUGUUUCCACUAAUUCCAAACGGAAAAGAAAGUCAACUUUAGGGUCCUUAAGUGGUAAACGGUUACUUAACACGGUAAAAGACCAAAAUAAUAUCAAAGUAAAUAACCGUAAAAUAACUUAAGAACCGGGGUGUGACACCUUCACCCACAACCGAAAUAAUAUUAUACAACACUGGUAGGUUAAAUAGAUAACCUACUGAUGAAAGGUGGAGGAAAUGUGGGUGACUAUGCCUCGUCUCCUACUAGAUCUAACCCGAACUCUGCAGACUGGGCAUUUUAAAAAGAAUGGCCCAGGGGAAGACAUUUGAAACCGUUAGAGUGAGUGGACAAAAAUAAAUUUAAAAGAAAAUAAAUCAUUAUGUUUUCCCGAUUUAACUUCUGUGGAAAAACAAUUAACGGCAUGCAACAAGCUCAAAAGUUUUUAAAAAUUUACCGAAACGUGACUAGCCACGGUAGUCACCAACACUUCAUAAAAAUAGAGCCUCUCAGGCUAAAAUAAAAUAUGUAUGUUUUACACUCGUCAUAUCCCUUGUAUGAAUUUUCUUGAAACAACAAAGACAAAUAGAAAAUUCACACAAGGCUACGACGCUUGCGUCUAACGCUCAUGUCGCACCAUAAUGGCAUUUUACCUCAUUAUGGUGGAAAAGACGGUGUAUAAAUAUAUAUACGCGCAUAUCCCCUAUAUAAAUUAUUAUAUUUAUAUAGGGCUACGACGAUUGCGUCUAACGUUCACGUCGCACCAUAAUAAAAUUUUACCUCAGUAUGGUGGAAAAGCACGUAUAGCUAACUAGCAUUUCUUCAUAUACAUAUUAUUCUCAUAAUCAUCCAAAUAUGGAUAUAUAUACAUACUCACCGAAAUUCUCAAUUUCGGUUAUUUUCCAACAACAUAAAUUAUUUCGCAUGCACAUUAUUUAAAACAAAAGUCCACUCACAAAUUAGGCCUAAGCCUGAUGUCGCUCCGAAGCUUCUUCUGCUCGGGCCUCCUCUCGUCCUGAACCAAAUAUACAAUUAAUUUCCCACUAAAAAUUCAAUAAUUAAACAAAAUGGGCAAAAUUAAACGUGAGCCUCCCACACACUCAUCAUUGCCCAACUUAGCCAUUCUUAACUCAAAAUGGCUCAAACUUCACCAAACAUACCGGCAGCCCUAAUUCAACCUUCUAAAGAUUAAUGACUUAAAUCCUACGGCCGGAUUCUACAUUAUUCAACCGUUAAAAAUAUCACACUUUGGAAAAUCACAAACCUAUCCAAAUCUCAUCCGAAAAUUCCAUAAUUCACAUCAAUAAACUCCCCUUAAUAUUCCACACUUAAAACUAUACAAAACUCCCAAACAGUGGCGGCGGCGCCGGAGGGUCCGCUGGCAGCGGCGGCCAGAGGCCGAUUCCGGCGACCUCCAAUGCCCACCAAAUUUUAACAGAAUCUUCCUCUCAAUUCCCUCUACAACUUCCUUAACUAGCACAACACCCAAUUCCAAGCCUAACUAAGUCAAUCGAGCAAAAACAACAGAAACCCUAGAGGUUCAAUUAAACAUUUCACCCUAACAAGAUCGAAUUAGACCAACUCCUUUUGAGGGAUUGCUCACCUUGAUGAGGGCUACAAGAUGAGCUAAGAAUCACGAGUUAUGGUGGCUGGAAAUGGGAGUUCCGACGAAGGAAAAUCCGGCGUCUUCGGUGGAAUAACUCCCGAUCGGCGGCGUUACCGGCAAGGACACUAGGCCGGGAAGAGAGAGGAGGUGGUGGGGCUCCGAACUGGAUUGGAGCGGCGGCCGGUGGAUGGCCGGACGGCGACAGGCGAUGGCUGGAGGAUCCGGCAACGGGAGAGGUUGGGAGAGAGGGAAAACCGGGGAAGGGAGAAGAGAAAAGAGAGAAGGAAAAGAGAAGAGAGAAAUGGUUUUUGGGCCUCUAACCCUCAAACCGGGCCGACAUCCUUAUACACUAAAACCCAACUCUAAAAUUUACACCCCAAAAAUAAAAUACCCUAUUAAAAAUUACUUUUUACUAGCUAAAAUUUACCAUUUUUACCGUCAUCACAUUUUUCUCCUACGAAUAAUUCUCCGAAAAUAACCGUCCCCCAAACCUCUCUAGGGACCAAUUAAACUAUAACCUCAAUGACGGAGACGGUAAAAUUCUUAUUAUAAUGAAGCUAGUAAAUAAGAUAAAAAUUUAAGGGUCGGGAUGUCACAAUGAGGGUUACGUAAAAGCCCGCUCGUAGUGACUUGAACCCGGAACAACAAGCACAAAAGCAAAACGUGAGAGAAGAGGGAAAAUGGUCCGGCCCAAAAGGACCCAACCCACUCCCACAUGCCUUCUCCCAACCCUCAGCCCACUUGGACCCGAGAUCCAGAUCAGACCACCCAAGCUAGCCAUAGCCGUCAUCAGUCGGUCUCUGGCGGACGAACGCCUCCUUCAGCCAUGGGAGAGGCGAACAUGAAACACAGACGCACCCAAAGCAAGUUGUCACCGCCUUUGAGGUGCUGCUAACCUAGUUGCAAACGCCGCCAAGCAAAACAACAAAUCAGUUAGUCAGGAAAGCGCAGAGCUAAGCCGCUCAUCCUCAAACUUCUCCCUAGUAGAUUCGCCUCCCUCCUAGCUUGCAAGGUGCUCCAUCUCCAAAAACCUCGACGGUCACCACUUACCACCAGAUCAUAUUCUUCGUCGUCGUCACACCUAGCCGCACCGCAAACCCUAUCUUGAUCCCAAACAAAUAUAAACAUCUGAUUAUCGCUUGUAUACUACCCCGCGCAGGCUUAGACCAAAGUCGCCACCACCCUCCUGGCUGGACGUGAAGCCAAAAUUUCCUACCGCCGCCUGCUCUCAAAACCCUAAUAAGAUUUCGAUGUUUAUGUUAGCAUAGACUACUCUAAUUAAGCUAUAUAAGUUGUAAUAGAUCAGCUGCUUGUACUAUUUUUUACCCAUAAUUGCAGAAUUAUAUACGUGAGCUUGUUACACUGAGGAAAAAAAAGGAGCAUUCUCAUAUAGAACAAACCAUGUCUUAUGUAUGCAGUAUGCUCACUUAAGAGACAAUAUGUAAGAAACCGUAAAGUACAAUUGAAUAUGUGGGUCGAAAAGAAAUGCGUAUUUUUAAUUUGAGAUGCAUUUGUCUCUUGCGUUCUCUUAAAACUAUUAAAUAGAUGAGAGCAAGCCUUUUUAUAUAGGCUUAAUUGUCAAUUUACUACACUAAGAUUCAUUUAAGUGUCACUUUGCUACCCUAGGUUCAUAUAAUUAGCCAAUUUGCUACAUUUCGUCACAUCAAUUGAUUAAUUGCUCUGUCUAAACAAUGAUGUAUUUUGAAAAUGUAAGGUAACAAAUGGCUAAAUUUGAAAAUGUAGGGAAGCAAAUUAGUUAAUAUGGAAAGCCUA
Molecule: long non-coding RNA, 13846 nt
Filed under: Fragaria vesca (wild strawberry)
Lineage: Eukaryota; Viridiplantae; Streptophyta; Magnoliopsida; Rosales; Rosaceae
Description: long non-coding RNA (FVES_LNC001689)
Source: RNAcentral